Molecule: ribosomal RNA, 319 nt
Filed under: uncultured eukaryote
Lineage: Eukaryota
Description: partial 18S ribosomal RNA
Rfam family: Eukaryotic small subunit ribosomal RNA
Source: RNAcentral
CCCUUAGAUGUUCUGGGCCGCACGCGCGCUACACUGAUGCAUUCAACGAGUCCAACCUUGACCGAGAGGUCCGGGUAAUCUUUGAAACUGCAUCGUGAUGGGGCUAGAUUAUUGCAAUUAUUAAUCUUCAACGAGGAAUGCCUAGUAAGCGUGAUUCAUCAAAUCGCGUUGAUUACGUCCCUGCCCUUUGUACACACCGCCCGUCGCACCUACCGAUUGAAUGGUCCGGUGAAAUCUCGGGACGGCGGCUUGGUCGCUUGCGUCCGACUGCUGAAACUUGAUUAAACCAUAUCAUUUAGAGGAAGGUGAAGUCGUAACA